This 253-nucleotide ribosomal RNA is filed under the name uncultured bacterium. Its description in RNAcentral is "partial 16S ribosomal RNA". It matches the Rfam family "Bacterial small subunit ribosomal RNA", at positions 524 to 776 of the family's 1533-position model. The record is from RNAcentral.
UACGAAGGGGGCUAGCGUUGCUCGGAAUCACUGGGCGUAAAGCGCACGUAGGCGGGUUUCUAAGUCAGGGGUGAAAUCCUGGAGCUCAACUCCAGAACUGCCUUUGAUACUGGGAAUCUCGAGUCCGGAAGAGGUGAGUGGAACUGCGAGUGUAGAGGUGAAAUUCGUAGAUAUUCGCAAGAACACCAGUGGCGAAGGCGGCUCACUGGUCCGGUACUGACGCUGAGGUGCGAAAGCGUGGGGAGCAAACAGG